This 301-nucleotide ribosomal RNA is filed under the name uncultured bacterium. RNAcentral's name for it is "partial 16S ribosomal RNA". It matches the Rfam family "Bacterial small subunit ribosomal RNA", at positions 509 to 807 of the family's 1533-position model. The record is from RNAcentral.
CAGUAGCCGCGGGAAUACGAGGGGAGCUAGCGUUAUUCGGAAUUACUGGGCGUAAAGCGCACGUAGGCGGCUUUGUAAGUUAGAGGUGAAAGCCCAGAGCUCAACUCUGGAAUUGCCUUUAAGACUGCAUCGCUUGAAUCCAGGAGAGGUGAGUGGAAUUCCGAGUGUAGAGGUGAAAUUCGUAGAUAUUCGGAAGAACACCAGUGGCGAAGGCGGCUCACUGGACUGGUAUUGACGCUGAGGUGCGAAAGCGUGGGGAGCAAACAGGAUUAGAUACCCCUGUAGUCCCUGUCUCUUAUAC